RNAcentral lists this ribosomal RNA (224 nucleotides) under uncultured bacterium. RNAcentral's name for it is "partial 16S ribosomal RNA". It matches the Rfam family "Bacterial small subunit ribosomal RNA", at positions 15 to 236 of the family's 1533-position model. The record is from RNAcentral.
GAUCAUGGCUCAGGACGAACGCUGGCGGCGCGCCUAACACAUGCAAGUCGAACGGUGAAGAGGAGCUUGCUCCUCGGAUCAGUGGCGGACGGGUGAGUAACACGUGAGCAACCUGGCUCUAAGAGGGGGGACAACAGUUGGAAACGACUGCUAAUACCGCAUGACGUAUCGGGAUGGCAUCUUCCUGAUACCAAAGAUUUUAUCGCUUAGAGAUGGGCUCGCGU